UUUUUAUGGAGAGUUUGAUCCUGGCUCAGGAUGAACGCUGGCGGCGUGCCUAAUACAUGCAAGUCGAGCGAACAGACGAGGAGCUUGCUCCUCUGACGUUAGCGGCGGACGGGUGAGUAACACGUGGAUAACCUACCUAUAAGACUGGGAUAACUUCGGGAAACCGGAGCUAAUACCGGAUAAUAUA
RNAcentral lists this ribosomal RNA (187 nucleotides) under Staphylococcus epidermidis NIHLM070. Its description in RNAcentral is "partial 16S ribosomal RNA". It matches the Rfam family "Bacterial small subunit ribosomal RNA", at positions 1 to 180 of the family's 1533-position model. The record is from RNAcentral. Lineage: Bacteria; Bacillati; Bacillota; Bacilli; Caryophanales; Staphylococcaceae.